RNAcentral lists this long non-coding RNA (596 nucleotides) under Gorilla gorilla gorilla (western lowland gorilla). RNAcentral describes it as "lncRNA (ENSGGOG00000044664.1)". The record is from RNAcentral. Lineage: Eukaryota; Metazoa; Chordata; Mammalia; Primates; Hominidae.
GCAGUUUCCAGCUUGACUUACCUUUGCUGAGUGAUUUUGGGGUCCGGAAACGUAUGUUCCGUCCAUCAUGAAGGGCCCCAGCCUAUCCCAUCACAGUGAGGGGUGGGGCAUGACCUGGAGCCGCAGUUGGCAACGGGAGUGGCUUUAGCCCCCCGACCACCCUAACAUCUUGCACUGUCUGGGGGCUCCCCGGGCUCAGCAACACCCACCUCUGUGGCUGGGAGCUGGGCUCAGCCACAUCCCUGCAACUUCUCCGGGACACCGCCAUCCAGCUACGCCAAGGCUUGACGGCGGCUCCAUGUUUCCUGCCAAUGGCGGUGCUAUUAACUUAUACAGAAAGCUCACAUUUGCCAUCACUCCCCUUUACGAAUCGCUUCACCCUCUGACCAGAUCCCCUCACAGUCACUUUCUAGAACUCAUUCUGGUGCCAGCUAUCUUUAUGGACAGAAAACUACAUUUUGAAAUCAAAUCAAGUGUGUUCUAUUUUCCAUCGAAAUAAAUCUGGAGCACUUUCUGCCUCUUUGGAUGCUCUCUUAAAACUACCUUUUAGCUAUGCCAUAGCACACAAAUUCAAAAUGCCUUCAAAUGUUGAAUCA